CCUACGGGGGGCAGCAGUGGGGAAUAUUGCACAAUGGGCGCAAGCCUGAUGCAGCCAUGCCGCGUGUAUGAAGAAGGCUUUCGGGUUGUAAAGUACUUUCAGCGAGGAGGAAGGCGUUAAGGUUAAUAACCUUAGCGAUAGACGUUACUCGCAGAAGAAGCACCGGCUAACUCCGUGCCAGCAGCCGCGGUAAUACGGAGGGUGCAAGCGUUAAUCGGAAUUACUGGGCGUAAAGCGCACGCAGGCGGUCUGUUAAGUCGGAUGUGAAAGCCCCGGGCUCAACCUGGGAACUGCAUUCGAAACUGGCAGGCUAGAGUCUUGUAGAGGGGGGUAGAAUUCCAGGUGUAGCGGUGAAAUGCGUAGAGAUCUGGAGGAAUACCGGUGGCGAAGGCGGCCCCCUGGACAAAGACUGACGCUCAGGUGCGAAAGCGUGGGGAGCAAACAGGAUUAGAUACCCCCGUAGUC
This 465-nucleotide ribosomal RNA is filed under the name uncultured bacterium. RNAcentral describes it as "bacterial SSU rRNA". It matches the Rfam family "Bacterial small subunit ribosomal RNA", at positions 338 to 795 of the family's 1533-position model. The record is from RNAcentral.